GAUGAACGCUGGCGGCGUGCCUAAUACAUGCAAGUCGAGCGAACGGACGAGAAGCUUGCUUCUCUGAUGUUAGCGGCGGACGGGUGAGUAACACGUGGAUAACCUACCUAUAAGACUGGGAUAACUUCGGGAAACCGGAGCUAAUACCGGAUAAUAUUUUGAACCGCAUGGUUCAAAAGUGAAAGACGGUCUUGCUGUCACUUAUAGAUGGAUCCGCGCUGCAUUAGCUAGUUGGUAAGGUAACGGCUUACCAAGGCAACGAUGCAUAGCCGACCUGAGAGGGUGAUCGGCCACACUGGAACUGAGACACGGUCCAGACUCCUACGGGAGGCAGCAGUAGGGAAUCUUCCGCAAUGGGCGAAAGCCUGACGGGGCAACGCCGCGUGAGUGAUGAAGGUCUUCGGAUCGUAAAACUCUGUUAUUAGGGAAGAGCAUAUGUGUAAGUAACUGUGCACAUCUUGACGGUACCUAAUCAGAAAGCCACGGCUAACUACGUG
Molecule: ribosomal RNA, 497 nt
Filed under: uncultured bacterium
Lineage: Bacteria
Description: partial 16S ribosomal RNA
Rfam family: Bacterial small subunit ribosomal RNA
Source: RNAcentral